This 253-nucleotide ribosomal RNA is filed under the name uncultured bacterium. RNAcentral describes it as "partial 16S ribosomal RNA". It matches the Rfam family "Bacterial small subunit ribosomal RNA", at positions 524 to 776 of the family's 1533-position model. The record is from RNAcentral.
UACGUAGGGUGCGAGCGUUAAUCGGAAUUACUGGGCGUAAAGCGCGCGCAGGCGGUUCGUUGUGUCGGUGGUGAAAGCCCCGGGCUUAACCUGGGAAUGGCCAUGGAAACUGGCGAACUGGAGUGUGGCAGAGGGGGGUGGAAUUCCGCGUGUAGCAGUGAAAUGCGUAGAGAUGCGGAGGAACACCGAUGGCGAAGGCAGCCCCCUGGGUCAAGAUUGACGCUCAUGCACGAAAGCGUGGGGAGCAAACAGG